UUAAGAUAGCCGACUGGAUGUUGUUGCAAAGUGGCCUGGAUCUUCAGCUACCUAUGAUUCGCGCAUUUUAAAGGUUGGGUAGGUGAUUUGCGAAACGCCAGCAGAUUUUGAAAAUACACAACUCAAAUGGUCCUACCCCCUCUCCUUCAACGCUGACUCUGACUCCACCCAUUCCAAGUACCUGGACGCGCAAUCAUGCACGAGCGCGAACAGAGAUGCGCGAGAGCGAGCCAGGCUAGAGUAGGUUUUCGUUUAACAACAUGGCACUACAUUCAACUGUAAGUUGCACCCAGUACCGCGGGAAGUAGGAGUGCUGGGGGUGCUGCAACACCCCCUGUCCGAGGCCCUGUCUUAUCACAGAAAACGAUCAUUUCUAAAAACUCCGGCCUAAGUGGAGAUUUCUGAAAACGCCGGUUAUGUGUUGUCGUGUCAACGGGGAGAAACGGGAUUUUAGGUUCUGAAGCGUCACAUUAUGCACCAGGAAAUGCUUAACGUCAUGUGAGCGCCCGCUGUACCGUAUUGGUCCGAAUAUAAACACAAACCCCAUUGUAAGACGACCUAUAUUUGGAAAAAAGGUUUGAAGACCAGAUCCGUUUUUUAUGAAUAAAUAAAUUGUAUUCAUUGAAAUAAUAUACGAAAAUAAAAAGGCAUCGAAUAAAACACUGCAUUGCCACUAAACAGUAGUGCAAAUAGGCCGUACUGAUGUGUACACCAAAGACUAUUCCUGACACUCCUCUGCCCCGCUGUGUUCGCUCUGGCUGUGGUCGCUCCGAACUGUUUCGGCCCGUGUAAUUGAGCUGCGCUGCUAUACAUCUUUUUUUUUAUCAAUGUAACGAGUUGCGAGUCUAGUGCAGGCUGAGUUUUUUUUUUUCCCAGCACCCCCUGCUGAGAAUACGUUCUCGCUGCAAUGGUUGGACCAGAUGUUAUAAACAUUAAACGGUCACAUAAAUCAUUACUAUUUUUAGAAUAGUAAUGAUAAAAUAGUUUGUUUCAUAUAAUUGUAUUG
Molecule: long non-coding RNA, 1006 nt
Filed under: Gadus morhua (Atlantic cod)
Lineage: Eukaryota; Metazoa; Chordata; Actinopteri; Gadiformes; Gadidae
Description: lncRNA (ENSGMOG00000036521.1)
Source: RNAcentral